RNAcentral lists this ribosomal RNA (200 nucleotides) under uncultured bacterium. RNAcentral's name for it is "partial 16S ribosomal RNA". It matches the Rfam family "Bacterial small subunit ribosomal RNA", at positions 8 to 200 of the family's 1533-position model. The record is from RNAcentral.
AGAGUUUGAUCCUGGCUCAGGACGAACGCUGGCGGCGUGCCUAAUACAUGCAAGUCGAGCGGAGUUGAAGAGAAGCUUGCUUCUCGGAUGCUUAGCGGCGGACGGGUGAGUAACACGUAGGUAACCUGCCUACAAGACUGGGAUAACAGCCGGAAACGGUUGCUAAUACCGGAUACGCAAUUCUCUCGCAUGGGAGAAUU